GGCGAAUGUAGCCAAGUGRAUCAAGGCAGU
This 30-nucleotide transfer RNA is filed under the name Warnockia scutellarioides. RNAcentral describes it as "partial tRNA-His". Lineage: Eukaryota; Viridiplantae; Streptophyta; Magnoliopsida; Lamiales; Lamiaceae. The record is from RNAcentral.